This 253-nucleotide ribosomal RNA is filed under the name uncultured bacterium. RNAcentral describes it as "partial 16S ribosomal RNA". It matches the Rfam family "Bacterial small subunit ribosomal RNA", at positions 524 to 776 of the family's 1533-position model. The record is from RNAcentral.
AACGUAGGUUCCGAGCGUUAUCCGGAUUUACUGGGCGUAAAGCGCGUUCAGGCGGUUUGGCAAGUCGGGCAUGAAAUCUCUCGGCUCAACCGGGAGAGGUUGUCCGAUACUGCUGGACUUGAGGGCAGUAGAGGGUGGUGGAAUUCCGGGUGUAGUGGUGAAAUGCGUAGAUAUCCGGAGGAACACCAGUGGCGAAAGCGGCUUCCUGGUCCAGCACCGACGUUCAGGCACGAAAGCGUGGGGAGCAAACAGG